Molecule: ribosomal RNA, 375 nt
Filed under: uncultured bacterium
Lineage: Bacteria
Description: bacterial SSU rRNA
Rfam family: Bacterial small subunit ribosomal RNA
Source: RNAcentral
AUACGUAGGGGGCAAGCGUUGUCCGGAUUUACUGGGUGUAAAGGGCGCGUAGGCGGAUUUGUAAGUCAGUGGUGAAAGCCUGUAGCUUAACUACAGAACUGCCUCUGAUACUGCAUAUCUUGAGUUCGGAAGAGAGAAGCGGAAUUCCAGGUGUAGUAGUGAAAUACGUAGAUAUCUGGAAGAACACCAGUGGCGAAGGCGGCUUCUUGGUCCGUAACUGACGCUGAGGCGCGAAAGCGUGGGGAGCGAACAGGAUUAGAUACCCUGGUAGUCCACGCUGUAAACUAUGAAUACUAGGUGUUGGAUGCAUUUGUAUCCAGUGCCGCAGCUAACGCAUUAAGUAUUCCACCUGGGGAGUACGAUCGCAAGGUUGAA